CUGCCUGUUGACAGUCUUAACCCAUUGCGGGGUAAAAAGGAUGUGGCGUGGGGGCGUGCAUUUUGUGUCUCUCGUGGGUCCCCUUCUCAAAUCGGACUAUUGCAAAAAGCAGGCAGAAAGGAGGCAGGCGUCCUUGUUGCUCCCGCCUGCAAUUCACUGCGAUGAGUUUGGCACCUACAUUGCUGUGCUAAACCUAAGGCAUUUUUGACCUAAAAAAUUGAAAUGUUUGAGCAUCGUGAAAGAACUCUUUGGAAGCAGUCCUGCUUUCUCCCUCUUUGCCUUAACUUGGCAGUUUUUCUCACCUACAGACAAUCGUUGCCUUGUAAAGACCCUUGAAGAAAUCUAACACAUCCUCCCUGGGGUACACCUUUUCCAAGCAAAAACUGCAUUAAAUCUUUUCAUGGUGGGCUUGCGUUGUCUUGGUGUCUGAUACUGUGGCAAGUGUCCAAAUUCUCUCUGUGGAGCCAAUAUACUCUGCACUUCCUACAGUCAAAAUACUCUGAAGAAGACGGAGAUUCUAAGGUCCAAGCCUUAGGGCAGGAGCUCAUUUUUGCUUCCUUCAGAAUGAGUUGGCCAUGCUCUUCCUCCACCUAAACCUAGGCUCCUCUUAUCUCACCCAUAUGACUUCCAGACACUCCUAAAAUUACUCUUGUUGACUCCUAUUCUGCACACUGCUGCAGAAUUUUUGUCCGAAGCUCCGUAUUAUUAUCCUAACAGACUAGAGCUCCCAUUCCUUGGCAGAGCAUUCAAUGCCCUGCCCACAACUGGCCCCGAACAUUCUGUCUUGGUCCUACACAACCCCUCUGUGCUUUCAAAUCUACUUAAUUACCCUACUGCCUUCCACUUCUGCAAAAAGUUAUCUUGCCCACGCCUAGCUUUUUCCUUUUAUGCUAAUUCUCCUUCCUCCUUUCUUCCUCAGAGCUUCUUAGCUCAGCUUUCUCAGCUGUUCCUACCACCACCCAGCCAAAUCAGUGAACAAGUGAAACAACCUGCUGUCUACUUCUGUCUUUUCACCUACAGUUAAUUCUCAAUGUGGCAGACAGUAGAAUCUGUUUUAAAAUGUGCGUCAAGUUGUGCUAUGUUUUUGUUCUCAACCCUCCAGCAACUUCCUAUCUGCCUGAAGGAGGGCAUCAGGGUCACAGGUGACAUGGUUCAUCCCUCCCCUUUCUGAUGUCUUCCCUUACUGCCUCCCUCCUUGCUGUGCCUCAGACAAGAGGAAAAAUUUUUAAAAGUCACCUUGGACUGAAGACCAGCAUCAGUUUAUAUGGUGUGAGUUCUUUCCAUUUGCCUUAGAUUGCACCUACACUGACAGAAGAAAGUAAAAAGAUCCAGCAGUUGAGGGAGCACUGGCUUCAUGGUUGAGUCAUCAUUUUGCUAAAUUAUGUAAUAAAUUCAUAAAUACUAACAGUGGAAAAACUAAACAGUGGAGGGAAAAUCCACUGUUUAUCUUCAUCUCCCAGUCUCCCAGUAUUUCACCAGUGGUAUCAAUUAUGAAAUGUCAGACUCAUAGGGAAUGGGAGACAGAGCUGGUCAAUGAUCUGACCAAGCAUCUGAUGAUGAUAAUGUUUUUAUUAUAUAAGGAGACACUUAAAACUGUAUAAAUAGACAUUUUAUUGUUUUCCUCUAAAUGUGUUUAACUCUAAAAAUGUUUUAGUGCAAAAUGUGUUAGCAGUUAGCAAUUGUUUGUUAUACUAGUGAUCCAACAUCUGUUAACAAUGAGGUUCUGGCAUACCAUCUGUAUUAGUCCAUUCUCAUGCUGCUAUAAAGAACUGCCUGAGACUGGGUAAUUUACAAAGAAAGGAGGUUUAAUUGACUCACAGUUCUGUGGGGCUGGGGACACCUAGAAAAUUUACAAGUAUGGUAGAAGGGGAAGCAAACACAUCCUUCUUCACAUGCUGGCAAGAGAGAGAAUGAGAACCAAGUGAAGC
Molecule: long non-coding RNA, 1928 nt
Filed under: Homo sapiens (human)
Lineage: Eukaryota; Metazoa; Chordata; Mammalia; Primates; Hominidae
Description: HSALNT0328868
Source: RNAcentral